AAAAAGCUCGUAGUUGGAUUUCGGGUUGCGCCGGCCGGUCCGCCCAUGUGGUGUGCACUGGCCGGCGCUUCCUUCCGUCUGGAGGCCGUCACUUCCCUUAACUGGGCGGUACCGGGGUUCAGAUCGUUUACUUUGAAAAAAUUAGAGUGUUUAAAGCAGGCUAUUGCUCUGAAUACAUUAGCAUGGAAUAAUGGAAUAGGACUUUGGUCCUAUUUUGUUGGUUUUCGGGACCGAAGUAAUGAUUAAUAGGGACAGUUGGGGGCAUUCGUAUUUAAUUGUCAGAGGUGAAAUUCUUGGAUUUAUGAAAGACGAACUUCUGCGAAAGCAUCUGCCAAGGAUGUUUUCAUUAAUCAAGAACGAAAGUUAGGGGCGCGAAGACGAUCAGAUACCGUUCGUAGUCUUAAACCAUAAACCAUGCCGACUAGGGAUGGGCAGGCGUUCUUUCGUGACCCUGUCCGCACCUUACNAGAAAUCNAGUCUUUGGGUUCCGGGGGGAGUAUGGUCGCAAGGCUGAACCUNAAAGGAAUUGACGGAAGGGC
RNAcentral lists this ribosomal RNA (539 nucleotides) under uncultured marine eukaryote. RNAcentral's name for it is "bacterial SSU rRNA". It matches the Rfam family "Eukaryotic small subunit ribosomal RNA", at positions 621 to 1165 of the family's 1831-position model. The record is from RNAcentral.